AUGAAAAUAUAGACAUGCGCGCAUACACCGUCGUGAGUGGGCGUGCAUAGCUUUCUGAAAACUAAAAAACAAGCAAUUGUCAACUGCUGAAAGCAGAGCGGGUGUUUUGGACGACCACAUUGAACAGUGAAAGUUACAUGGUGUGCUCGAUCAGCUAAUAACAUCAGUUGAACGGGCUAUCAGUGGCUGGAUUGGGCGGGCCUUUGAGUAGCGCGUGCGUCCGGCGAUUGGUCGUCGCCUGCAGGACACGCCCCCGAUCGGUUGGCCGGCAGAAGGCACGUCACUCCGGCGUGGCCCCGCUCACCGCGAGGAGAGGUCCCGCCCGGCCAGGCCCGCCACGUAAUGUAAGUACUCAACGCGUUGGUGUCCCGAAUCGGACACAGAUCGCUGUCUUAGGAGCUCGAAGGCCGUAGCGCCAAAAAUGUCCCGAGGGUAGCCUCCAGCAGCGACUGGGUUGAUGCUCCAGUACGCAUCGGCUUCUGGCGAUACCCCGGUCGCGUGUAGUUUGGAAAGGUACUGUGGCGGUUCAGUUGGGCGCUUUCGCAGAUUCCGCUAGUGUUCUGACACGGAAUCGACCUUACUUUCCAGAAUGGCGCUCUGGGUACGCGUGACGACGGUGCUGACGGCUCUAGCGCGCAGUGCCCACCCAGCUACUGUUAACCUGCUGUUUAUCAAUGAGAAAAACAAUACCAUGGCACCAAGCGCUAUCGAUGCUGCAAUAAGUGACAUUGCUGACCAGAACAUUGGCAUAAGUGUGAACAAGUACAUGGUUGAAAACAUGGAAGAUGAAUACCUGGCAACCACGGACAUUUGCGACCAGGUGAAAACGGCUAUAGACGCCGGCAAGCGGCCUCACCUAAUUGUUGACACCACACUGAGCGGCACCAGCUCCGAGAUAGCCAAGUCUGUCUCCAAGGCGCUGGCUAUUCCCACCGUCAGCGGCUCCUACGGUGACGUUGGUGACCUCAGGCAGUGGCGAAACCUGACGACGGAGGAGCAGAAGUACCUGGUGCAGAUCCUGCCGCCCGCAGACAGUGCCGUCCAGGUUAUUCGCAAGAUCGUCAUGGACCAGAACAUCACCAGUGCCGGCAUCAUCUUUGACGACUCGUUCGUAAUGGACUACAAGUACAAGUCGCUGCUGCAGAAUGUGCCAUGCCGCCACAUCAUCAGCCACCUACCUGCCGGUAACGAGAGCGCCGCGCUGGCGCAGACGGCGCGCUUCAAGCAGGCAGACCUGGUCAACUUCUUCGUAAUCGGCCGGCCCGAUACUGUCAAGCUCGUGCUCCAGGCCGGAAACAUGCACAAGCUGUACGGCAGAAAGUAUGCCUGGUUCGUCAUCAGUAAGGACACGGACCCUGUACAGUGCGCCUGCACCAAUGCCACGGUAAUCCACAUCGUACCGAACCCAUCAGCAGCCGCCCAGCAGCGGCUGGAGGCGCUCAAGGUCAACCAGGGCCUGUCGGCUGAGCCACGCAUCGACGCCGCCUUUUACUUCGACCUGACGCGGAAGGCUAUCCAGGCGGUCAACGACAUGAUGGUGGCUGGCCAGUUUCCCAGCGACUACUCGGUGCCCACCUGCGAAGCCUACCAAAAUGGAGACCGGCAAACCAGGACCAACCUGGAUCUGAUGGGUGCGCUUCAAAGAAUCAGCGUCGCGGACACGUACGGGCAAAUGGCGCUGACAUCCAACGGCAUGUCACACAUGGAGUUCUCGAUGAAGCUGUUCAAGACGCACAUCCUCUCCUCCCGCGUGGUCAGCCGCGACGCCGUCGGCAUUUACACAACCGGAACUCCGGUCGGCGAAUUCAGCGAACUCAACCAGGAGGCCUUCAACAGCUUCAAGGCGGUUACAGUCUACAAGAUUGUUACGCUAGAGCAACCACCAUUCAUUAUCAAGAAGGGCAAAGAUGCAAACGGAAAGACGAUUUUUGAUGGGUAUUGUAUCGAGCUGCUUCACGACAUCCAGGAAAUUCUUAACUUUGAGUACGAUAUCUACGAAGUGGAGGACGGAAAAUAUGGCGUGAUGGACGAGAACAAUGAAUGGAACGGCAUGAUCCGCGAGCUGGUGGACAAGAAGGCGGAUAUCGCAUUAUCGGCGCUGUCCGUGAUGGCGGAGCGAGAGAACGUCGUCGAUUUCACCAUUCCCUACUACGACCUGGUGGGCAUAACCAUUCUUAUGAAGAAGCCGAAGGCUACGCCAUCCCUUUUCAAGUUCCUGACAGUGUUGGAGACGGACGUCUGGGGCUGCAUUCUCGGAGCGUACUUCGUCACCAGCAUUCUGCUCUAUGUCUUCGAUCGCUUCAGUCCCUACAGCUAUCAGAACAACAAGGAGAAGUACCUGGAGGAUGACGAGAAAAGGGAGUUCAGCAUCAAGGAGAGUCUGUGGUUUUGCAUGACUUCCUUGACGCCGCAGGGAGGAGGCGAGGCGCCGAAGAACAUGUCGGGACGUCUGGUGGCCGCCACCUGGUGGCUCUUCGGUUUCAUCAUCAUCGCCUCCUACACGGCCAACUUGGCUGCUUUUCUUACCGUGUCUCGACUGGAUUCUCCCAUUGAAUCGCUGGAGGGACUCGCCAAGCAGUACAAGGUACAAUACGCUCCAAUGAAUGGCACAUCAACAAUGAACUACUUCAAACGAAUGGCCUACAUAGAGCAGAAAUUCUAUGAAAUCUGGAAGGAUAUGUCGCUGAACGACAGCAUGACCGAGGUUGAGCGAGCCAAGCUGGCCGUUUGGGACUACCCAGUCAGCGACCGCUACACCAAGAUGUGGAACGCCAUGCAAGAGGCCGGCCUGCCGGACGACUUCGAGUCGGCCGUGUCGCGCGUUCUGGACAGCCCCUCCACCAGCGAGGGGUUCGCUUAUCUCGGCGACGCCACCGACAUCCGCUACCAGGUGAUAACCAGCUGCGAUCUGCAAAUGGUCGGCGAGGAGUUCUCUCGCAAGCCGUACGCCAUCGCUGUACAGCGGGGGUCGAGCCUGAAGGAGAUCUUUAAUGAGGCGAUUCUUAAACUGCUGAAUCGGCGCAAGCUGGAGGUGCUGAAGGAGAAGUGGUGGAACCAAAACCCGGCUCGGAAAUAUUGCGAACGAGAAGACGACCAAUCGGAGGGCAUUUCCAUCCAGAACAUCGGUGGCGUGUUCAUCGUCAUAUUCGUGGGCAUCGCGCUGGCCUGCAUCACGCUGCUGGGCGAGUACUGGUACUACAAGUACUGGAAGCCCAGUCGGGUCACCAGCCCGCAGAACCCCAAGAUCCUGGCGGUGCGCCCCGAUCCAGCAGCCAAGACCAACUUCAACACCGAGUACAAGUAGGCACCCGGACGGGGACCUUUGGGGUGCGUUGGCACCCGGAGGACAAGGACCUCUGAGGUCGCGGCCCGGCGACCAGCCGUACGAACUUAACGCCUCUGGGAACCCCUGG
Molecule: unclassified non-coding RNA, 3413 nt
Filed under: Pollicipes pollicipes
Lineage: Eukaryota; Metazoa; Arthropoda; Thecostraca; Pollicipedomorpha; Pollicipedidae
Description: ionotropic receptor 25a-like, transcript variant X3
Source: RNAcentral